UACAUGGGGUGCAAACGUUGCUCGGAAUUAUUGGGCGUAAAGCGCGCGUAGGCGGUUAUCUAAGUCGGGUGUGAAAGCCCUCGGCUUAACUGAGGAAGUGCACCCGAAACUGGGUAGCUAGAGUACUAAAGAGGGUCGCGGAAUUCCCGGUGUAGAGGUGAAAUUCGUAGAUAUCGGGAGGAACACCGGUGGCGAAGGCGGCGACCUGGGUAGAUACUGACGCUGAGGCGCGAAAGCGUGGGGAGCAAACAGG
This 253-nucleotide ribosomal RNA is filed under the name uncultured bacterium. RNAcentral describes it as "partial 16S ribosomal RNA". It matches the Rfam family "Bacterial small subunit ribosomal RNA", at positions 524 to 776 of the family's 1533-position model. The record is from RNAcentral.